GAUAGAGGCCUACCAUGGUGGUAACGGGUAACGGGGUGUUAGGGCACGACACCGGAGAGGGAGCCUGAGAAACGGCUACCACAUCCAAGGAUGGCAGCAGGCGCGCAAAUUACCCAAUCCCGACACGGGGAGGUAGUGACAAUAAAUAACAAUACGGGGUUCUUUAGGAUCUCGUAAUUGGAAUGAGUACAAUUUAAAUCUCUUAACGAGGAACAAUUGGAGGGCAAGUCUGGUGCCAGCAGCCGCGGUAAUUCCAGCUCCAAUAGCGUAUAUUAAAGUUGUUGCAGUUAAAAAGCUCGUAGUUGAAUUUCGGGGUUAGUAGGUUGGUCAUGCCUCUGGUAUGUACUGGUCUCACUGAUUCCUCCUUCCUUAUGAACCGUAAUGCCAUUAAUUUGGUGUUGCGGGGAAUUUGGACUGUUACUUUGAAAAAAUUAGAGUGUUUAAAGCAAGCUAACGCUUGAAUACAUUAGCAUGGAAUAAUGAAAUAGGACGUUCGAUCUUAUUUUGUUGGUUUCUAGGAUUGACGUAAUGAUUAAUAGGGAUAGUUGGGGGCAUUAGUAUUCAAUUGUCAGAGGUGAAAUUCUUGGAUUUAUUGAAGACUAACUACUGCGAAAGCAUUUGCCAAGGAUGUUUUCAUUAAUCAAGAACGAAAGUUAGGGGAUCGAAGACGAUCAGAUACCGUCGUAGUCUUAACCAUAAACUAUGCCGACUAGGGAUCGGAUGAUGUAAU
RNAcentral lists this ribosomal RNA (730 nucleotides) under uncultured fungus. RNAcentral describes it as "SSU rRNA". It matches the Rfam family "Eukaryotic small subunit ribosomal RNA", at positions 332 to 1066 of the family's 1831-position model. Lineage: Eukaryota; Fungi. The record is from RNAcentral.